ACGGUCUGCUACUCGUCAUUUUGGCCGAGGGAGAAGCGAGGCUACCCUGAACAAGUGUGGACGCGAACUGUGCAGUACGCAAGUGCCUGGUUAUGGGUAAGGAUAUGGUGUAGUCACUGACAAACUUUGGCGCAACUGUCACGCGGAGUUCUCUAGAGAGGGCACGCCUCGUGUAAGCGCUGUAAACACUUUUGCCAGCGACGUUCCGAGAGUGCCUUGCGAGCAGUCGGAAAGUAGAGGACGGUUCGGAAUUCGUUUAGAGAUGGAAUCGCAAGCAGAUCGUUCACGUUGUCGUUUUACAAAAAGCAUGGAGCUCGCAGAGGUGCCUUUGGCGAUUUUCAUGCCGCGGUGCGGGUGCUACAAUACGCUGCAAACCACCGGCACUCCCCAGAGUCGAGAGCCACGGGCUGGGCCAGUGCGCUACCCGCGGAAGAAUCUAAGUCCGUCUUGGGCAGGGUCAUCGGGCAAGUGCUCGCAUAAUGCUGGCACGCUCGAGCGUUGAGGCCAGAUGCAGCAGCAGCAGCAGCACGCGCUAGGAGCGCACUCACGGUCAAAGCACCGCGACGCUGAGGCGCUCAUUUCUGGACAGGUCCGAGUUCCAACCCGGGACCUUGCUGAGAGUCUUCCUCGCUUAUGGCGGGGCGUUGCAUGUCCGAGCAGCAACCCGUAACGAGCUAUAGCAACGCAAACACCAGCGCAGGCUCAGGCACUUCAAGCGCUUUCAGUGAAAAGAACGCAUCAGCGCGACCUCUAGCACCAUCUACCACCCAACUGAUGCGGGCGUGGGUGGUCUGUUCCCCCGCUCCCGUCUACGAAGCGCUACCAUUGCCGAUAUGGCCGCCACAAGCGACAGCAAUGCAGAGAAGAAAACGAUCGCAUCAACGGCAGACAGCGCCCAAUAGUAUCCCUGGGUUCCACAUUCGCAAUACAUUUCCGAGAGCGAGAAUGAGCCGAUACUCGAAGGCGAGCCGUCGCAUCGUGCCUGUGCACUGCUUCGACUGCAGAUUCGGUACGCUUCUACUGUGGAAUGAAAAUCGAGCCCGGCGGAAGCCGCUGCAGCACCUGUUAUGCCCAACUGAGUCAGCCAGAAGAAAGCAUGCCCGUGCCGAAAGUGAUAAAAAAGAACGAUCCAUAGCAGUGCAGCCAGCACAAUCAUGCAUCCAGUGACUAGACGGAUGAUGUUAUUCACCAGCGGAUAUCCACCAUUGAUGGCCGCUAUCAAAAAAGGUCGGUGCGUUAACGGUUCGAAGUAGCUGAGCGUGUAGAUCUUGGAUGCAUCCAAGUAAUAAUACCGAGUUGCGGGAAACGAGCUGCCGCUUGUAAGAUACCAGCAAGACCACACAAUCAGAAAGCAUCCGAAAAGAACUUGGGCAAGCAGAAAUCCAGACAAGAGCCGUUCUCGUUGGAUUUUAUGCGUGUAACUGCGUUCAGCGACGGUGCGAGACUUGUGCCCGAGGGCGCUCGAGUCGCGCUUCGUUGCCAGCGAAUACUCGUCGGACUCGAUCUGCCGGUUCCCGUUACCUUGCGACUUGUGACCCAUUUUACUCAAAAAUAGCGCUCGAUUCGUCUGAGCAGCGUAGAACAGCCGCAGAACUGAGCCCAGGAACCUGAACUUUAACCGAGUGUACAACCUGGUUUGCGAUACCCCAGCUCGGUUCUGCGAACGCCAGUAAAACGGUUUCAGCGAGA
RNAcentral lists this unclassified non-coding RNA (1689 nucleotides) under Cyanidioschyzon merolae strain 10D. RNAcentral describes it as "hypothetical transcript". Lineage: Eukaryota; Rhodophyta; Bangiophyceae; Cyanidiales; Cyanidiaceae. The record is from RNAcentral.